Molecule: ribosomal RNA, 226 nt
Filed under: uncultured bacterium
Lineage: Bacteria
Description: partial 16S ribosomal RNA
Rfam family: Bacterial small subunit ribosomal RNA
Source: RNAcentral
GCGUUGUCCGGAUUUACUGGGUGUAAAGGGUGCGCAGGCGGACUUAUAAGUCAGGGGUGAAAUCUCGCUGCUCAACAGCGAAACUGCCUUUGAUACUGUAGGUCUUGAAUUAGGGAGAGAUUCGUGGAAUUCCGAGUGUAGCAGUGAAAUGUGUAGAUAUUCGGAAGAACACCAGAGGCGAAGGCAGCGAAUUGGCCCUAUAUUGACGCUCAGGCACGAAAGCAUG